CAGUCGAACGAUGAAGCCCCUUCGGGGGUGGAUUAGUGGCGAACGGGUGAGUAACACGUGGGCAAUCUGCCCUGCACUCUGGGACAAGCCCUGGAAACGGGGUCUAAUACCGGAUACGACCAUCUGAGGCAUGUCAUGUGGGUGGAAAGCUCCGGCGGUGCAGGAUGAGCCCGCGGCCUAUCAGCUUGUUGGUGAGGUAACGGCUCACCAAGGCGACGACGGGUAGCCGGCCUGAGAGGGCGACCGGCCAAACUGGGACUGAGACACGGCCCAGACUAAUACGGGAGGCAGCAGUGGGGAAUAUUGCACAAUGGGCGCAAGCCUGAUGCAGCGACGCCGCGUGAGGGAUGACGGCCUUCGGGUUGUAAACCUCUUUCAGCAGGGAAGAAGCGCAAGUGACGGUACCUGCAGAAGAAGCGCCGGCUAACUACGUGCCAGCAGCCGCGGUAAUUCA
RNAcentral lists this ribosomal RNA (454 nucleotides) under Streptomyces sp. EYN-5-6. RNAcentral describes it as "bacterial SSU rRNA". It matches the Rfam family "Bacterial small subunit ribosomal RNA", at positions 59 to 527 of the family's 1533-position model. The record is from RNAcentral. Lineage: Bacteria; Bacillati; Actinomycetota; Actinomycetes; Kitasatosporales; Streptomycetaceae.